UGUCGUCAGCUCGUGUCGUGAGAUGUUGGGUUAAGUCCCGUAACGAGCGCAACCCUUGUCCUUAGUUACCAGCACGUUAUGGUGGGCACUCUAGGGAGACUGCCGGUGACAAACCGGAGGAAGGUGGGGAUGACGUCAAGUCAUCAUGGCCCUUACGGCCUGGGCUACACACGUGCUACAAUGGUCGGUACAAAGGGUUGCCAAGCCGCGAGGUGGAGCUAAUCCCAUAAAACCGAUCGUAGUCCGGAUCGCAGUCUGCAACUCGACUGCGUGAAGUCGGAAUCGCUAGUAAUCGUGAAUCAGAAUGUCACGGUGAAUACGUUCCCGGGCCUU
RNAcentral lists this ribosomal RNA (333 nucleotides) under uncultured Pseudomonas sp. RNAcentral's name for it is "bacterial SSU rRNA". It matches the Rfam family "Bacterial small subunit ribosomal RNA", at positions 1050 to 1382 of the family's 1533-position model. The record is from RNAcentral. Lineage: Bacteria; Pseudomonadati; Pseudomonadota; Gammaproteobacteria; Pseudomonadales; Pseudomonadaceae.